RNAcentral lists this small nucleolar RNA (107 nucleotides) under Thalictrum thalictroides. RNAcentral describes it as "Plant small nucleolar RNA R71". It matches the Rfam family "Plant small nucleolar RNA R71". Rfam says of the family: R71 is a member of the C/D box family of snoRNAs containing the C (UGAUGA) and D (CUGA) box motifs. Multiple nearly identical copies of this snoRNA have been identified in Arabidopsis, and it is thought to function as a 2'-O-ribose methylation guide for 18S ribosomal RNA. The record is from Rfam by way of RNAcentral. Lineage: Eukaryota; Viridiplantae; Streptophyta; Magnoliopsida; Ranunculales; Ranunculaceae.
AUUUCAUGAUGAGGGCACUUAAUUAAUAGAUCAUUAAACCUCUCCCAACACUCAAAAAAAUGUUCAACUUCUUUUUGUUGAAAGUUGGUAAUCUCUCGUCGAAGUGC